GGGGAUGUAGCUUAGUAGUAGAGCACCUUGCUUGGCAUGCAAGAGGCCCUGGGUUUCAUUCUCAGCACUACAA
This 73-nucleotide transfer RNA is filed under the name Ictidomys tridecemlineatus (thirteen-lined ground squirrel). Its description in RNAcentral is "Spermophilus tridecemlineatus (thirteen-lined ground squirrel) tRNA". It matches the Rfam family "tRNA". Rfam says of the family: Transfer RNA (tRNA) molecules are approximately 80 nucleotides in length. Their secondary structure includes four short double-helical elements and three loops (D, anti-codon, and T loops). Lineage: Eukaryota; Metazoa; Chordata; Mammalia; Rodentia; Sciuridae. The record is from Rfam by way of RNAcentral.